This 497-nucleotide ribosomal RNA is filed under the name uncultured bacterium. Its description in RNAcentral is "partial 16S ribosomal RNA". It matches the Rfam family "Bacterial small subunit ribosomal RNA", at positions 28 to 507 of the family's 1533-position model. The record is from RNAcentral.
GAUGAACGCUGGCGGCGUGCCUAAUACAUGCAAGUCGAGCGAACAGACGAGGAGCUUGCUCAUCUGAUGUUAGCGGCGGACGGGUGAGUAACACGUGGAUAACCUACCUAUAAGACUGGGAUAACUUCGGGAAACCGGAGCUAAUACCGGAUAACAUGUUGAACCGCAUGGUUCAACAGUGAAAGACGGUCUUGCUGUCACUUAUAGAUGGAUCCGCGCCGCAUUAGCUAGUUGGUAAGGUAACGGCUUACCAAGGCAACGAUGCGUAGCCGACCUGAGAGGGUGAUCGGCCACACUGGAACUGAGACACGGUCCAGACUCCUACGGGAGGCAGCAGUAGGGAAUCUUCCGCAAUGGGCGAAAGCCUGACGGAGCAACGCCGCGUGAGUGAAGAAGGUCUUCGGAUCGUAAAACUCUGUUAUUAGGGAAGAACAAAUGUGUAAGUAACUAUGCACGUCUUGACGGUACCUAAUCAGAAAGCCACGGCUAACUACGUG